GACGAACGCUGGCGGCGUGCUUAACACAUGCAAGUCGAACGGAAAGGCCCUGCUUUUGUGGGGUGCUCGAGUGGCGAACGGGUGAGUAACACGUGAGUAACCUGCCCUUGACUUUGGGAUAACUUCAGGAAACUGGGGCUAAUACCGGAUAGGAGCUCCUGCUGCAUGGUGGGGGUUGGAAAGUUUCGGCGGUUGGGGAUGGACUCGCGGCUUAUCAGCUUGUUGGUGGGGUAGUGGCUUACCAAGGCUUUGACGGGUAGCCGGCCUGAGAGGGUGACCGGCCACAUUGGGACUGAGAGACGGCCCAGAAUCCUACGGGAGGCAGCAGUGGGGAAUAUUGCACAAUGGGCGGAAGCCUGAUGCAGCAACGCCGCGUGCGGGAAGACGGCCUUCGAGUUGUAAACCGCUUUCGCCUGUGACGAAGCGUGAGUGACGGUAAUGGGUAAAGAAGCACCGGCUAACUACGUG
Molecule: ribosomal RNA, 468 nt
Filed under: uncultured bacterium
Lineage: Bacteria
Description: partial 16S ribosomal RNA
Rfam family: Bacterial small subunit ribosomal RNA
Source: RNAcentral